This is a long non-coding RNA of Zootermopsis nevadensis, 1182 nucleotides long. RefSeq lists it as uncharacterized. NCBI's taxonomy places the organism in Eukaryota, Metazoa, Arthropoda, Insecta, Blattodea, Termopsidae. The record is from RefSeq and is a predicted model, not a curated record.
GUAAAAACCUCAAAUCCUACAAGAACAGUAUUGUUCCAAUCGGAUUGAUUUGUACAAAUUAGGCACUGUAGUCACUCAGUUAAACCGUCUUCACGAAAAUUCCAGAACAACAAAGUUUCUGGAAAUAUAACGCCUACUUACCUCAAAUCAACUUUGCCAAUAAUCUGGCUUUACCUUUGUAACGGUGGACUCUUAUUAUGGGUUUUACGAAUUAGGCCUUGUGGCCUCUUAAAAUUCAGAAAUACUUCUGAAAUUAUUAAUUCCUUUGGAUAUUUAGUACGACUCCUUCGAUGGAUGAUCAGCCCGUCGUCAGGCCUCUAUUUAUACAGGACAUAACAACGAAGAAUAACGAGAAUACACACUAAUGCCUCCAGUAGGAUCCGAACCAAAGAUCCUAGUGUUAGUGCGGUCACAACAACAGCCUUAAGAUAGCGCGACAAGACAGUAGAUUGCUAUCUAAAAUUAGCAACAAUGUCAACAGAGUAAUGAUAACGCAUUUGAAAUAUUCGUACACAUGAGCUUAUUCUAAAAUGACGCAUCCUCCACGUGCCUCAGUGGGAUCGUGACCCAUCGGUUGAGAAGCUGGCUGCAUAACCUUCUCAUGUUUUCUUUACGGUUCUGUCAGUCACUGGAAUUCCUUCAGCGUCUCUUCUGACCCCAUUCGUCUUAUUUCUCCUGCCAGAGGUUUAUAUUUCUAAACUUUUAAUCGAACUUGUGCUCUCUGUCUUCAGACAUUGAAACAGAGACGUCAGCCAGCGAAGUUCUUCGUGCUGUAUUCUCUUCAGGAAUGAUGGCGAUGCAUUUCUGCGUUCCUCUUUAACUCUCUGGUACGGAACUACACCGGCCCUUUAAGAAGCCAGGGUAGACUACUGCCUCGACGGCCGAGGUUCGUUUGCCAAUUCCGAACAAACAGAUGAAACACGUCUAUCUGCAGACCCAAUUACAGCUGCGUUCAAGGAAAAGCGGAAAUGUUUUGCUUACAUCGUUGGCAAUUUUUAAAUUAGUGAUGCAAAGACGAAUCGGGUGAAAAGAAAACAAACGACACGACAAAGGAAGAGAGUAAAACAACUUUAAUUUCCGUUCUGGUUUAUUUAAACACGUCAGAACAGGGUUCGACAUUUUUUAGUUGCACAGGCCACAUUCAACAACGGAUUUUGCACAGAAUUUGAAGGAUUAAAAUUU